Long non-coding RNA from Taeniopygia guttata (zebra finch), 1365 nucleotides. RefSeq lists it as uncharacterized. NCBI's taxonomy places the organism in Eukaryota, Metazoa, Chordata, Aves, Passeriformes, Estrildidae. The record is from RefSeq and is a predicted model, not a curated record.
CUCUGAACCUUGCAGGAACUCGGCUGUCAGCCCAGAGCAGCCUGAGGCAAAGACUGAGUGAGGAGGAGAGGAAGAAAACCAAGCUCUAACCCCUUGGCAGAGGAAGUCAGUCUGUUCCAGGAAGCCCAGGCUGUGUGCACAGAGAAGACCCACUACUGUAAUACUUCAGAACUACUGAAUUUGCAACGUAACUAUUCUAUUAAACCCUUAUAUGGAUAUGAAAGCAAAGUACUAUUAAUCCUGUUGUACAGAUGAGAGCUGUUGCUUGAGAACUUUAAUAAAGUACCCCCAAGAACAGAGUCAAAGCCUGAAGGUGUCCUUGGGCUGCUUCUCUAGUAAAAUGCUCAAGCUGCCCAAGACUUUUCUUCAGAAGGUCUUCAGAGUUUGACCAUGAAUCAUCAUAAAAGACCAUGUUUGGGAAUGAAGCGGCAAUGGUAUGCAAAAGAAUGAAGAUUUUUUGCAAAACUUUUGGCAAAAGUAUGGGUAACCUUUGAGAACUACUUUUACCAUUAGAAAAUGCAACAAAAAAGGUAAAUCUCAUCUCUCCCAGCACCACUUAUACAUGCUCCAAUAAAUAAGUAAUGGUACGAGUGCCACACAGUGAAGUAGAAUGUUUUUCUUGUGCUUUGAUCCUAAUCUCUAGAGAAAUAUGUUUACUUUAAGUUUGCUGGAAGCUAGACUUUGUGUUUUGAAGGUCAGCUAAGAAAUCUCUGGAGAUCUGAUGUUAUUCACUCUCAUGGAAUGAAACGCUGACUCCAGCAUUCCAGCUGCUAACUCGAGUCCUAAGCACAGGGAAAGACUGCCAUGUUGCCCUUCCUUGGGAAAAGAUUAUUUUCUUAUUUAAAUUGGAACAUUUUAAAUUGGAAGCUAAAUAAAUUUUUAUGUACCUGGUUGGCAGGGAUAUGAGCUAUAAUUUUUAAUACUCAGAAUAUUCCAAGAAGGUGCAGAGAGAUGUUGCCAAGGAUGUGAGGAUAUUGUAACUGGAGUCCCUUGGGUCAGAUUUGAGAAUGCUGCAGUCUCAUGGACUGAAUGAUAAAAGAGAUGAAAAUACAAAAAAGUCAGUCAGCCAGCUGUUAAAGCAGAUUAAGAUAGAAUUUAGCUACAACAAAUUCAGACAGGGACUUUCUGGAGAGUCAAAUUAUUUCCCAUAAAAUGCAAAACACUAGAAGACUUCCAGUGAAGAAAGCUGUAAGAACAUGGUUGUGGAGUUGAGUGCUGAUAAAUAUGGAACCAUCAGGAAAAGAAUGGUUGUUUUUUUUUCUCACUGGAGCUAAAAAGCAGAGCCAGAAGGUUAAUAUACCUUUCAAUAAUUAACCUUGAUGUUUUCUAUAAAUAUAUGUUAAUCUUCCUGACAUCAUACAAAAA